CCUACGGGAGGCAGCAGUGGGGGAUAUUGCACAAUGGGGGAAACCCUGAUGCAGCAACGCCGCGUGAGUGAAGAAGUAUUUCGGUAUGUAAAGCUCUAUCAGCAGGGAAGAGAAUGACGGUACCUGACUAAGAAGCCCCGGCUAACUACGUGCCAGCAGCCGCGGUAAUACGUAGGGGGCGAGCGUUAUCCGGAUUUAUUGGGUUUAAAGGGUGCGUAGGCGGAUUUUUAAGUCAGCGGUAAAAUGUCCGGGCUCAACCCGGGCCGGCCGUUGAAACUGGGGAUCUUGAGUGGGCGAGAAGUAUG
Molecule: ribosomal RNA, 305 nt
Filed under: uncultured bacterium
Lineage: Bacteria
Description: bacterial SSU rRNA
Rfam family: Bacterial small subunit ribosomal RNA
Source: RNAcentral